AUGAAGACUUUGUGUGUUGCUGUUGUUGUGCUGAGUCUCACCUCAGUGUGUCAGUCUGCACCGUUGACCUGUGAGCAGCUGAAUAAGCCACUCGACAAAAGUCCAGACUUGUCUGGAAGAUGGUAUAUGAUAGCGCUGAGCUCAGACGUCUGUCUGAUUCCAAGCCUCCUGAAUGCCUUGUUUUGGCCCAGUCUUGUUAUUGACUUUAAAGAACAGGACACACCAAACCUCUACAAUGCCAACGUUACGUUCAACAUGCAUGACUUUUGUGACUCAAAAGUUGAAACCUUCUUCCUUAAAAGCAGCAGCCUUUUUGAUGUGGACAGCAACAAUUCUCCAACUGGUGAGCCUGAUACGCUGCUGCACACUGGCUGUCCUGACUGCCUCGUUAUCAAGGGGAAUGAUGGCAUCAACUUGCUCAUGUACUUCAGUAGGAGAAAAACUGUCACUGAUGCUGAGCUGAAGGAGUUUGAGACACAGUCAGAAUGUAUGGGCUGGUUCAAACCGGAGGUCCUAAACACAGUCCAUGAAUACCAAGAAUGCAAGUCCUUAGAUGACGACAAUGAGGACUUUUCAACUUUGACGGCCAAGAUGGGUCAACGAAUGAAAAGCUCAUACACGGGUCCCCUUCAAUGUAUUGCACAGGAUAUUUUUUAUUACCCCCGUGUUGCCUUUGAGUGGAUUCAAGAAAGGUUUUACAGCCUUCUGUGAAUGAACAAAUAAAAACUACACUAAAUGUGAAACA
RNAcentral lists this long non-coding RNA (745 nucleotides) under Betta splendens (Siamese fighting fish). Its description in RNAcentral is "lncRNA (ENSBSLG00000010684.1)". The record is from RNAcentral. Lineage: Eukaryota; Metazoa; Chordata; Actinopteri; Anabantiformes; Osphronemidae.